GUGGGGAAUAUUGGACAAUGGGCGCAAGCCUGAUCCAGCCAUACCGCGUGGGUGAAGAAGGCCUUCGGGUUGUAAAGCCCUUUUGUUGGGAAAGAAAUCCUGUCGAUUAAUACUCGGUGGGGAUGACGGUACCCAAAGAAUAAGCACCGGCUAACUUCGUGCCAGCAGCCGCGGUAAUACGAAGGGUGCAAGCGUUACUCGGAAUUACUGGGCGUAAAGCGUGCGUAGGUGGUGGUUUAAGUCUGCUGUGAAAGCCCUGGGCUCAACCUGGGAAUUGCAGUGGAUACUGGAUCACUAGAGUGUGGUAGAGGGAUGCGGAAUUUCUGGUGUAGCAGUGAAAUGCGUAGAGAUCAGAAGGAACAUCCGUGGCGAAGGCGGCAUCCUGGGCCAACACUGACACUGAGGCACGAAAGCGUGGGGAGCAAACAGGAUUAGAUACCCCAGUAGUCC
This 450-nucleotide ribosomal RNA is filed under the name uncultured bacterium. RNAcentral describes it as "partial 16S ribosomal RNA". It matches the Rfam family "Bacterial small subunit ribosomal RNA", at positions 354 to 796 of the family's 1533-position model. The record is from RNAcentral.